ACUUNCAUGGNCGCAGUCUGAGGAGCAACGCCGCGUGAGUGAAGAAGGUUUUCGGAUCGUAAAGCUCUGUUGUUGGUGAAGAAGGAUAGAGGUAGUAACUGGCCUUUAUUUGACGGUAAUCAACCAGAAAGUCACGGCUAACUACGUGCCAGCAGCCGCGGUAAUACA
RNAcentral lists this ribosomal RNA (168 nucleotides) under uncultured Lactobacillus sp. RNAcentral's name for it is "partial 16S ribosomal RNA". It matches the Rfam family "Bacterial small subunit ribosomal RNA", at positions 362 to 527 of the family's 1533-position model. Lineage: Bacteria; Bacillati; Bacillota; Bacilli; Lactobacillales; Lactobacillaceae. The record is from RNAcentral.